Long non-coding RNA from Physeter macrocephalus (sperm whale), 485 nucleotides. RefSeq lists it as uncharacterized. Lineage: Eukaryota; Metazoa; Chordata; Mammalia; Artiodactyla; Physeteridae. The record is from RefSeq and is a predicted model, not a curated record. The transcript is spliced from 3 exons.
GGAGUGUGAGGGGAUGUAAAGGAACAGCGGAGCUUAAGUUGGUCUGAACUACACGACAACACUUGCCAUGAAAAUCAAACCAGAUCCUCGCUGAGGGUCAUUCGUCAAAUUCCCUUCCUGUUUUCCUUUUCAUGCUCUUUGUUUUGUUUCCCUGAUCCUUUGACUGCACGGCUCUUAUGGAAUCGGAAGUCAGGCAACACCACAGAAGAAAAUGAACCGAGCUUGUGGUGUCCCUGCCAGAGCCAAACCCCAGAAACGGUGGAAAUAUCCAGUGCCAGCCCGAGUCUGUGAGAUUUCCAGCCUGAUAGCCAGACCGACAAGGUUUAGAGUGAUGUGUGGGCCUCCUCCCUAGGAGCCUUUGCAAGUGAUGGAGAAUUGGGAUUAAACAAGGGAAUGGACUACUGAUACAUGGAACAAUGUGGAUGAACCUCAAAAACUUUCUGCUGAGUGAAAGAAACCAGACGGAAAAGAAACCAUAUUCUAUU